This 482-nucleotide ribosomal RNA is filed under the name uncultured bacterium. Its description in RNAcentral is "partial 16S ribosomal RNA". It matches the Rfam family "Bacterial small subunit ribosomal RNA", at positions 28 to 507 of the family's 1533-position model. The record is from RNAcentral.
GACGAACGCUGGCGGCGUGCUUAACACAUGCCAGUCGAACGAUGAAGAAGGGAGACGCGAACUUCGGUUCAAGUUUCACUUGGGAUUAUUGGCAGACGGGUGAGUAACGCGUGAGCAACCUACCUCUUACAAAGGGAUAGCUUCGGGAACCCGAGAUUAAUACCAUUUGACACAUUCAUAAGGCAUCUUAAGAAUGUUAAAGCUACGGCGGUAAGGGAUGGGCUCGCGUCCCAUUAGCUAGUUGGUGAGGUAACGGCCCACCAAGGGGACGAUGUGUAACCGGGAUGGGAGCGUGGACCGUAACACUGGAGGUGGGACCCGGUCCGAACUCCUAGGGAAGGCAGCAGGUCGGAAUGUUGCACAACGGAGGGAAGUAUGAUGCAUUGAGGUCGCGAGAGCGAUGAAGGAAUUCAGAACGUAAAGCUCUGUUCAAUGGGAAGAAAAGGACGGUACCUAAGGAGAAAGCCCCGGCUAAAUACGUG